Molecule: ribosomal RNA, 425 nt
Filed under: uncultured bacterium
Lineage: Bacteria
Description: bacterial SSU rRNA
Rfam family: Bacterial small subunit ribosomal RNA
Source: RNAcentral
AUUGAACGCUGGCGGCAUGCCUUACACAUGCAAGUCGAACGGCAGCACGGGAGCAAUCCUGGUGGCGAGUGGCGAACGGGUGAGUAAUAUAUCGGAACGUGCCCAGUCGUGGGGAUAACGUAGCGAAAGUUACGCUAAUACCGCAUACGAUCUAAGGAUGAAAGCGGGGGAUCGCAAGACCUCGCGCGAUUGGAGCGGCCGAUAUCAGAUUAGGUAGUUGGUGAGGUAAAGGCUCACCAAGCCGACGAUCUGUAGCUGGUCUGAGAGGACGACCAGCCACACUGGGACUGAGACACGGCCCAGACUCCUACGGGAGGCAGCAGUGGGAAUUUUGGACAAGUGGGCGCAAGCCUGAUCCAGCAAUGCCGCGUGCAGGAUGAAGGCCUUCGGUUGUAACGUACUUUUCUAGGUAGGAAAAAAGUAAG